Molecule: long non-coding RNA, 4494 nt
Filed under: Capsicum annuum
Lineage: Eukaryota; Viridiplantae; Streptophyta; Magnoliopsida; Solanales; Solanaceae
Description: long non-coding RNA (CANN_LNC000519)
Source: RNAcentral
AAUAGUGUAAGAACUGCUAAUACAAUCCAAGAGUUAAUUACAUCAGAAAAAUAACCACAAAGGAAUAAUAACUGUCUCUGAAUACUAAUAAAGACAUAACUACUAUAGAAAGAUAGAGGUGAACUUCGGACGCAUGAAUGUCCAACCGCUACCUUGGAAGCUCUAACAAUCGCCUGAGUCAAUCAAGCUGAGGCGCACUCGAGCUAGGACCUGUACCAAAAGGGCGCAAUAGACAUGAAUACGGUCCACUUAUACUUAGUAGGUAUCAUAGGCCGACCAAGCAAAGUAGUAAAUGAAGCAUACAAAAUACACAAUAAGGGUACAUCACCUACAAUCAGAAAAUAUCGCACAACGGUAGCCCACACCGCUUGCACUAACAGUUCUAAUGUAUAUCACAUAUAUUACAACAAUACACCAAGAUAUAGAACACAAGUAUACAUUAUGUCACAUAUAGAUAGAACAAGAGAGAACAUGUAGAUACAAGAUCAUCAAAUACAAGUAAAAGAAUGUAAGACAAAUACAUAGAUGACAAGUCUAUAUUGCAAUACAACACAACAUAAACACAAUAAAGUAACUGCAAUGUAUAUGACGAUGAUGAUGAUGAUGCACGAGGUCGUCGCACAACCUCCGAGAUCGGCGCACAAUCUCUGUAUAUACCUACGGAGCUAAAGCUUCCCAACGUAGGACCUAUGGGGAGUUCAUCAACCCAUAUACAAUUAACAUAUCUCAUAUCUCCUUUCCAGCAUAUCCCUCAAAAAGGGUUUUAUAAGGUGUUACAAUAUCUCUUAAAAAGAUGUUGCUAGUGUUUCUCAUAUAUUACCAUAGUGGUACCAAUGUUUCAUGAAUGAGUAUGAUAUGAAGAUGUAAUGCUCACAACUAAUCACAAUGAGUAUUUCCACAACCAACCACAAUGAUACUUUUACACAACCACAUGAGCUAAUAUCCACUCAUUAUUAUCGUAUCAUCCAUGAAUUUUCACAUAUCUCAUUUGCUAAUAAAGUAUGAAUAUAAUCACAAUACACCAAUGGUACCACAUUAAGCAUUUUAAUACAAUUAUUCAUAUGUAUUCAAGGCUAUCAAUAUCACAUAAGACCCCACACGGUCACACAUAUCACAUAAUAUCUCAGUUUUGAUAAUUACAUCACAUAUAAGCCCUACACCCUACACGAGCACAACACAUAGAUAGCCAUUUUUCAUGAUUAGUUCCCACCCGUAGCAUGCAUUUUACAUCACAUAUAAGCCCCCACACGAACACAACACACAGAUAGCCAUUUUUCAUGAUUAGUUCCCACCCUUAGUAUGCAUUUUGUACCAUCAUUUACUACCCAACCCAGUCUGAAAGAGUUAAGUCAUAACCAACCUCGAAAGCCAAAAUCGAUCUGCUACACUUGAACCCGCGACCUUACUUUUCACGAACAAUCUUGAACUCGACUAAAAACAUCAAAUAUGAAAUCUACGCGUCAAAACAAAACCAACGACACCCAUAUUGACUACUUUUGAUUCGGGGUCAAAAUGGAUCCCCGAAAUGGGUUUUCGAAAAAGAAGGGCAAAAUCAGAAUUUUACUUUAAAAACAUGUUUUUCAUAUUUUUAGGAACCUACAUAUGAAAAUCAAAGUUAAAUCGAGUCAAAAACUAGGUUCAAAUCGAAGAAAAAUCAUUUCUAGCUUUAUUGGGUAAAAUUUUUGAAAUCCGGAUUAAAAUCAAGAAUCAAAGUUGUUUUGAAGGUUAAAUUGAUGAAAAACUAGUAUUUAUAAGAUAAAAAUAUUAUUCAAGUGAAAAGGAGUGAAAUUGAAGUUUAAAAUCAAGCCUUAAGAUUUUGGGGGUUUUGAUAAAUUAAUCAACAAAUUACUAAGAAAAUAGUAAAUUCUUACCUUAAAUCCGUAAUAAAACCAAGAAAUAGAUGUUAAUCUAGCGUCCCAAACUCCCACAAACUCUACUUUUAAGCUCUCGCACUAUUUUAGGGUUUAACUCUCAAGAGGCAAGAUGAAAAUGUGCAAAAUGGGCCAAAAAUAGGUGGCAAAAGCUGUUAUAUUGCAGUUUUUCUGCAAUAUUAAGUGCUGGUUUUUCUCUUAAGCCGAAACAGAUUUCAACGGGGUGCUCGGGAUUCAUUUGGAGUUCGAUAUACACAAACAAACUAUGCAACCAUACUAAAUUCGACACUCCGGACGCGAUGGCAAUAUCAAAUUUUAAAAAAAAAAUCGUUUUCACAAAGUUGACCCUCGAAAUCCGAAAUUAUAAUUUUCCAAACCGAGGGUCGAAAUGAGAUUGAAAAGUCGUAAAAUCAUACCAAACAUGCUAACACCUAAAAUCGACGUUCCGAAUCUGCUGUCGAAGUCAGAUUUUCCACUCGAGGUCAUUUUUAUCAUAUGUGGGUCCCACACCCAUAUUUUCAAUUUUUCAACUUUUCGACCAAUAGAUCGAAAUGAGCUCGUGUGCAUCGGGACCCAAAUCAAAGAUCUACCUAGACUAAAAUCGAUAGUCCAGAGUUGAUGGCGCCGUCCGUUCGGCAAUCCAUUGCACGGAUCAAAAGAUAUCUACAUAAGUCCAAAAUAAGGCUCUCAAAGCCAUCAAAAAUCACAAUAUCACAUAAAUGAUGCCAAAAUUCAUUGAAAAUUAUGUCAAUCACUCCCACACUCUAGAAAUAUCAUAAUGCAAUUAUGGGGAGAGGUAAAAUAGCUAAAUCACACAAAAUCACAAAUUUCAUCAAAUUUUUAGGUCGUUACAAUUUGUAACAUAAUUUCUUAGUAAAUUUAAAAUAUAUAGCUAUACUUCUCUAGUAUUUUUAGUUGUUUUAAAAAUUUUAGUUCCUUUGUAAUAGAAAUUAUUUAUCUUUCAUACUUUUCUCUCGUUUUGUUCCUUUAUUUAUUGAAAGAAUUGUUAAUUAUAUAUUCAUGUAUUUUAAAUUUAUGUAACAUUGAAUUUUUAGUGAACCAGAAAAAGUAACAAACUAAGUUUGACCAUAGAUGUAGUAUACUGCUACAUAAUGAUACUUCUCAUACUACAUAUAUGAACUGACCAUAUAUUUUUAAUUUUUUUUUCAAAUAGUGUAUUAAUAAGGUUGGUCUUUUCAUAUACAAUUUGAGCGUAUUUUAACCUUUUAUUAUCAAAAAAAUAACUUGAAACAAAAUUUUAUUAUCUUUUUGAUUGAAUAAUUAUCAACUAAAUGCAGCAACUGAAAUUCAAAACUUGUUAAAAUGAUAUUAAUUUGAAAUAAUAUAAUAAACAUUAAAUUGUAGAUUUUCUUGAGAAUUUUCUAUUGCGUUAUAUAGCUAAGGUGAGAAGUGACAAUUAGUGCAUUUUAAAGAAGAGAUAAAAUAUUGAAUGAGAAAUGGGGCCCACGAAAAAAGAUGAAUUUUGGAUGAUGAAUUUGUAAUGUUAAAUAAUUAUAAUGCCCUUCAUCGUUCAUAAUUCACUUUUCUAUAACAGCUAGAUAAGUAUGUCUGUGUUUUGCAUGGGCCCAACAUAUAAAGUAUAUAUGUUUGCUUCGAAUGAUGAAAUUGAAGAAUUAAAAUUCAUGCAAUUAUUUUUCAUGCGUUGUAUAAACUGUUGAAUGUUAUUGGAGACAAUAAUUUGAAUAAAUUGUAUAUCUAUUUUGUGAACAGAACUAAUAGGAUGCCAUCCCUAAACAAAAAGGAUAGAAAGUAGUACACCGAUAAAAUUCACAUGAAGAAACUGAAGUAGAAAGAAAAAGAAAAUUGAUUCUUGUACCACUAUAUUAUGGUUUGUACUUUACUCAGUUUCUCUGUGUUCAUUAUUUUUUUUUUUUGGCUUUUAGGUUGUAUAUCUGAGUGCAACAGCAAAAAGUAAUAAUUACUUAUACAACUACACAUUAACAAUUACCCACCAAGAGCCUCGACUUUGAGAAUUUUCAGUUAUAUCAAAAUCAUGAUUACACUUUGACUUGCUCUAAUUGCUCGAUCCUUUUAUAAAGAAAUUCAUAAUAAAUAUUGACAUUCAAUUAAAUUUUAAAUAAGCAAGUAUCGACCUCAUUUCUUAUAUUGAUUAAAGUCAUUGAUGUUUAAUAAGCAAGUAAAUAUAUGUAAAUAAAGUGGAAUUUUAUUGAACAUAUAAAGUACUAUGUGAUAAUCAUGAAGUGAUCUCCAUACAAAAUCUCAUAGUUCGAAGGAAAUUCAAAUGUUAGAAAUUGACAAUAUUUAAUUUAACUGAAGACGCAGAAUGCUAACUUAGAGAUUUAUCAAUCUUGCCACAUUUUUUUCAUAGCUUUGUCCUUUGGCUCAUAUUGAUUUCAUUUUAUUUUUUUUUUCAUAAUGCUCAAUAUGUAGCCUCAAAAAUGCAUUUCCUCUUCUUUUUUUUUUCUCUAAAGUUGUUUCUGUUUUUAGGAGAAUAUGCCUCUAAAAUCAAUUAGAACUGAACAUGAUACAUGAAAGGAGUUUAAGUAACUAAAGUAGUUAAUGUAUGUUGUUGUUGAUGUUUAACCAUACUUAGAAUCUGUUAUAAAAGAAAUAAAUGUUACCUUAGUGACUUAGUCUCUUG